Molecule: ribosomal RNA, 449 nt
Filed under: uncultured bacterium
Lineage: Bacteria
Description: partial 16S ribosomal RNA
Rfam family: Bacterial small subunit ribosomal RNA
Source: RNAcentral
AACGAACGCUGGCGGCAGGCUUAACACAUGCAAGUCGAACGCAUCCUUCGGGGUGAGUGGCAGACGGGUGAGUAACGCGUGGGAACGUGCCCUUCAGUUCGGGAUAACCCAGGGAAACUUUGGCUAAUACCGGAUACGUGCGAGAGCAGAAAGAUUUAUCGCUGAAGGAUCGGCCCGCGUCUGAUUAGCUAGUUGGUGGGGUAAUGGCCCACCAAGGCGACGAUCAGUAGCCGGUCUGAGAGGAUGAUCAGCCACAUUGGGACUGAGACACGGCCCAAACUCCUACGGGAGGCAGCAGUGGGGAAUAUUGGACAAUGGGCGCAAGCCUGAUCCAGCCAUGCCGCGUGAGUGAUGAAGGCCUUAGGGUUGUAAAGCUCUUUCGUCCGGGACGAUAAUGACGGUACCGGAAGAAGAAGCCCCGGCUAACUUCGUGCCAGCAGCCGCGGUAA